This 6039-nucleotide long non-coding RNA is filed under the name Homo sapiens (human). RNAcentral describes it as "non-protein coding lnc-GRIK1-3:1". The record is from RNAcentral. Lineage: Eukaryota; Metazoa; Chordata; Mammalia; Primates; Hominidae.
GUUCUCCCUUAUUUUCAAAUUAGCACAGCUUAGAGCCAGGAUGAUGGAAGAUUCAGUGCUGAGAGAAAGAAGACCCAUUUCCCAAGAGUAGUAUCUUCAAAUGCAGACAUUCACACAGUUGCUUUUUAUCAUUAUUUGGGUCAAAAGUGCAUGACAUAUGGAAAAACAACAGAGGACAUACUAUCUUCUUUUAGCCUUUUUCCAACUCUGCCCCUUUGCCCAAGGGUCUGGCUCUUUCAUUAAUUCCUGCAGGAAGACUUCUAUUUUUUUUGUUUGUUUUCUUUUUUUUCUUUUUGAGCUUAUAUUCUCCUGGGAUUUCAAAAAUAUAACCUCAGGAUAUCUCUUCUCCCUUACCUUCCAUACUUGUUACUAUGUUUAUGUUGGUGGGGUGACUUACUUGGUGCUGAAGUGUUGGGGUGACAAGGGCAGGGGAAGUCUCUGUGUCCCUAGCGGUGAAUCCAUCCAAGAGGCUUCAAGAUGGCUGUCACUCUUAUCCACAGAGCUUCAUUUAGGCUUGAUGACUCAGGCUCUCUGCUGGUUCCCUGCCAUACCUGAAGGCACAGAACUCAUUCCAUUGCUUGCUGUGGUUGGCUGGUAACUAGCAAUUUCUGUUAUCUAUCUGUGGGCUACUUGUCUGGCCUUACAUUACAGCCAUUCUCUCUCUGGGAGCUUCUGCCUCAUCAGGGCACCCUUCUCUCUCUGGCCCCACAAAUCAAUGUAGUGUUUUGCAUUUUUCCUACUGUGGACUAUGCCCCAAAACCAUUGUUCUAAUCACUACAAUCAUUACUAACCAUCUGGUUUUUUUAUCUCUUCCUCCAAUCAAUCCCUCAAAUUCCACCACCAUCCACAUUCUCCCGGGCUCCUGACAAUUAUGUUUAGCCCAACUCUAACCACAGGCUUCAGAGGCUGUUUCCUCCUGAUUUUCCAAAUGAGGCAAAAUUGGAACCUCAUUUUUGUGAGCUUCAAGCUCACAACCAGCAGCAACUCAGCGCAUGCUUCUGCACACAUGAUGUGGACGUGCUUUUAAUCUUUCUUGUACCUUUAUAAGCAGAUCCUCCCAGGCUUCUGCAGUGUAGGAGAACGGAUAUGGUUUUAUUAAAAAUAGUGUCUCAAUUUCAAUAGCUCUAAGUUCCCACCUGCUUGAUGGCAGUGCUGAAGGGAGCCCCUCAGAGCCUCCUCUGCUAUUCCAGGCAUUCCAGGGUGGCUUUGCAGGACAGCAAGGAGGAAAUCUGCUCCUGGACUUUGAUUUCAACCUCAUCUGCUGUCCACUGCCUGUACCACAGAAGGCACCUUGAUGAGAUAUUGCUCCAUGGCUUUCAGAUCCUCUGAGAGAAUAGGGGUCAUGGAUCUCUCCACUACAACUACAUCUCAUUUCUGACUUUUUUUAAGUUUUGCCUUUGAAACCUCAACACUCUUCUUUGGGUAAAUUAAGUAGUUCAAUGAGUAGGUCCCUCAUUAUUACUUUAAAUAAUCAAGAGUUCCAACCUGAUUUCUACAAUCAUUUUUAUUUUGUCUCUAGUUAAAUACUACUUGAAUGAAUGAGAGUGGUCUCUUUUUCCAUAACAAUGCAAUUUUAAAUGUUUCAAUACCUCAUUACCUUAGCUUUGAAGCUUCUCUUACAUUUUCUUUCUUAUAUGUCAGUUCAAGAAACGGGCUUUCAGAGACAAGUACACUGACCCUCUCAGCCAAUGAUCCACCAAGUGACUAUUCCACACGUAGGCAGCUGUACACAUAGCCACUUGCCGGGGGGAAAGAAAAUCAAUUCAUUCCAGAAGAUUAUUGAAGCUAUUUUAUUUUUUCCUUCGGAGCUCUUCCUUCAGUGUGUGAUUACACAUGCACUCCUUUGGGUGUUUUGUUUGAAAUCAAGGUUGUUUUAUCCACCUGACCAUAUGUGCUAUGAGCUCGGGGAGCACACCUGGUUGUUCUCAGCAUGUCACCCAGCUGGACCUGCAAAGAGUGCCACAUAUGCAGUAUCCAUUGCCUGAACAAGUGACUCCCUCUAAAAUUCACAACAAAGCUAAUAGCUGUUGUGCCUGAGGACAUACAGCAAGUGCAGCCACAAACAUCAGGUCAGACAUUAGAAAGCGGCGCUCAAACUUCAUGGCUUUCUAAGUCCCCAUGCCACCAACCCUUCUGGACAACAGCUGACUUCCAUUUCUAAAGAACCAUAAAAAGGUCAUUGGUUUGCAAAAUCAAAAUUUGUUCUGGGUGCUACUGUGCCCUCAUAAAUGAAAUUUUGUUAUUAAAGGAAUGAACCUAUUGGCAGUGUGCCUAGUCCCAGAGAACAAACAAUGUUUGGUGUCAGAGUGCUGCAGUCACUCUGCAGAAGCAGAAUGGACAUCACCCAGAAUUUGGUCCUGAUGUUGAGACUGCUGACACCAUACGCACACCUAGGGGGUAUGAAAUUGUUUAUUAUUCACAAGAGAAGGCUUUCCUUCUGCCUCUAAAUACACUCUUUUCUCACAAGGGUCGAAAUGGCUUUCAUUUUUGUACAAAGUCCACAUCCCAUACACUCCCCCUUCUGAAUGACUUUGAACUUAAAAUAUGUUUGUUUGUUUAACUUAAGCCACUUCAGUCCAUUUACUUCUUUACUUAUCUCUUCCCUGCACCAAUUACUCACCCUCCUUUUAGUAGCAGCCAUUAAUAUUCUCCAUUAAUGGUCUCUUUCCAAAACCUAGUCCCUCAGAAAUUUCCUUCACCAAGACUCUCCUUUGAAAAUAUCUACUCCCAAAGGUCUACACUCAUCUCUUUGAGCAGCAUCUUUCCUAAAUAUGUGUAAUAAUAAAUUUAGCCCUGGCUAAGAAACUUGAAGAAGUGAUCAAGGAUCAUUUUAAAGAAAAAUGAUAAACAAUGAACAAAAGGCAACCUGAGUCUGAAGAGUUUAAUAAAGGGCUCAGGCCGGGUUCAGUGGCUCAUGCCCAUAAUCCCAGCACUUUGGGAGGCCGAGGCGGGUGGAUCACCUGAGAUCAGGAGUUUGAGACCAGCCUGGCCAGCAUGGUGAAACCUCGUCUCUACUAAAAGUACAAAAAUUAGCAGGGCGUGGUGGUGCAUGCCUGUAAUCCCAGCUACUCAGGAGGCUGAGGCAGGAGAAUCACUUGAACUUUCUGUUUGUGACACAAACAGCCAUUAGAGAGAAAUGAUUAGCUAUUAUACUUCUCAGUGGUGGUUAGCAAUGGUCUAUAAUUAUUCAUUUCUAUUAGGAGCCAUUAGCCAUUAAUUCCAUGUAUUAGAAUUUUGAGAGCAGCUUGACCACAUUGAUUCCUGGGUCUACAUUUAAAAUAGAUGUGAGAGAGAGAGAGAGACAGAGAGAGAGAGAGAGAGAGAGAGAGAGAGAGAGAUUAAAUGAGUUCGUUAUUGUUAAGCACUUAACUGUCAUCAUCAUCAUCAUCCCACAGAUGUAGACACCGAUGUCCAGGUAGGCGAUGUGAUUUGUCCAAAUCAUAAAACUAGCAUUAAGCACGCAGAAGAACCCAAAUCUCUUGACAACUAGCCCUGAGUUCCUUCCACUGUGCCAUGCUGCCUGUAUUGUUCUAUACUACGCCAUACUUUCUGAUGCAUAAAGUCCUUAUCAGGUACAUAACUUAUGAAGGAAAGAACUCAGAAAGAAGAAGGCCUAAUGAUGCCAUUGAUAUAAUACCAGCAUUAGACAUUGGUAGCCAUACCUUGUGUCACCCCCCUAAACCCCAUCUUUAUUGAAUGAAGCAAGUGAAACAUCACCUUUCCCAGAAUUGUGGAUAGGGUCUACACAGGGAAAUAAUAAGUGAACAAAUGUGGGCUGAAAGCAUAAUGGCUAAUAAUAUUUCCCAGAAGAGAAGAAAGAGGUGAGCUGUGUCUUUACAGACAUUGCCAAUAGGUAAGAGAGGGCACAGAAACUCAAAGAAGCCUUAGAUUUACUGAAUGUAAGAGAAGGAAGAGGAGAUGUUAGCUUUUAUCUUUUUUUCAUAGCUUUUCCUGCAACCUAGACAUUGUUUAUAUCAUUAUCUUGGCUGUGUCACUAAUUAGCAAUUGAUUUCUGAAAAUUUAGCUCGUCAUCAAUAAAUGCUGUUCCUAAGUAGUCAAUUAGAAUGAACAUCUCCCAGGGAUUUAUGGGGUUAUUAAGUCUGGAAGGUAGUCUUGGUGAAGGCAUACAUUAAGACCUUGUAUCCCAGGAGGAUUAUCUGUGGUGACAGCAACAGGAGGUGAACCUGCUCAGCCCAGCUGUGGAGUUCAGCACCAGGCUGGUGAAUCCAUCUUCCCAAGACCUCAUGCUGUCACAGCCAGGAGACUUAUGCUCUAAUUAUGUGCCCCUUCUUUUGCAACCCCUACAGCUUAAUGGGUUUCACAUUCUCUUAAGGUCUAAUGUCCAUUUUUUUUUUUUCUUCUUUUCCUUUUAAAAAAAGAUCCUAUACUGACAACUCCAAAUGCUGGCAAGUUGAGGAGCAAUAGGAACUGUCAUUCAUUGACUGGUGGGAAUGUCAAUGGUACAACAAUUUGGAAGACAGUAUGGCAGGUUAUUACUAAAGUGAGCAUAUUGUCACUAUAAAUUCCAGUAAGUGUGCUCCUUGACUUUGACCCAAAUUAGUUAAAAUUUUAUUUCCAUAAAAAAUGUGGACAUAGAUAUUCAUAGCAGCUUGAUGGAAAGUUGUCAAAACUGGGAAGCAACUGAGAAGCCCUUUAGUAGGCGUAGGAGUUAUUACACUUUGGUACAUACAAACAGUAGAAUAAGAUUCAACACCAAUAAGAAAUGAGCUAUUGUGCCACGAAAAGACAAAGAGGAAUCUCAAAUGCAUAUGACUAAGUGAAAGAAGCCAGUCUGAAAAGAUGACUUACCAUAUGACAUUCCAACCAUAUGACAUUCUGAAAAGCAAAUAUGGAGAGAAAAAGUGUGUAAAGAGCAAUGUUCUUUGGAAAAACCAAUUAAUUUUCAACCAUGAAAAAAUGAAAACAGGUAAGUGCUAGAAGUAAAUGAUGGAUGAUUAUUUUCAUAAUCUUAGGCAGAAAAAGUCUUUCUAAGAAGUUCUAAAUUAAAACUUUGAUAUUUAAAAGAUUAAAUAUGUAAUCCUUCAACAUCAAAAACAUAAAGAUAACAAAAAUUAAAAGUAAAUGAAGAUCUGGGAAAAUAUACUUAGACCAUAUAUGAUAAUGAAGUUAGCACUAUCAUAUAUAAUGAUAUAAUAAAGUCAUAUAUCGUAAUGUCAUUGUUUCUAUAACAUAUAAAGAAAUGUUAUAAAUCAAGGAAAAGAUGAACGCCUUAAUAUAACGAUAAGUUAAGAACAUGAAGCAAUCUGAGAGACAAAUACAAAAUGGCAAACACAGGUUCAAGAAAAGUUUUACUUGGAGACAAAUUUAGCAUUCAUUACAAUGGAUUGUCAACUGAAACUCAUUGAUUCAAAUAUGUUAAAUAUUUUAGAUAUAUACAACGUAUCAAAUCUUUUAGUAUAUUAAUAUAUAACAGAAAUAUAUAUAUUAAAUGUGUAAGUUCAUAAUGAUAUUUUGAAAAAUGAAAACCACACUAAUCAUUUUUGGCUGUUGCUGGACUCAUUGCUCUGAAAUUGGAUAAAUAAAGGUACAGAAUACAGCAUUUACCUUGCCUCUCAUUUAUGAACUGUGCUUCAGGUUAACCAAAUAGAUGUGAGGGAAAGUUCUUCUCCACAGAAGAAUUCUAAUUAAAAAAGAAUGAUUAUUAGAAAAAUAAUUCGAAAAAUGUCAUUUUGCAACCCCUGCCGAGACAAUGGAUUUUGGCAAGAAUCAUAAAUGGUAGUUGAUGGGAAAAUUGAUAAUGGGUGAAUGAUGACAUCUAAACCCAUCAACUUCAGCAUCAUGAAAAGUGGGACAAGUAGACAUUGGGUGCCUGUUGAUUUAAACACUGCCCAUAAAAUAUUUUUGCCCCCUGAAAAAAAUAAACCUAAAUUUAAUUGUGUUUCUUGACUUAACUGCCAGUUAACAAGAAAUAUGGGGUAUAUAAACAAUACCACAGGAUACAAUCACAUAAGACCAGGAUGUGGGAAAUUCAACUGGAAAAAUGACAUAUUUUAAAUGGCUUGAAAAAAAGGGGGAAGA